CAAAAUCACAUUCCUGCUUCCUUCUGUCUAACUGUCACUUUCAGUUUUUAAACAAUCAUCAUCAUCAAGCGAUAGAUAGCAGGGCACUGGAGGAACAGUCGACUUCGGGACAGAUUACAAAUGGAUUUUCAUCUUUGAGGAGCGGAGUGAGGUCGGGAACUGGUGGCUAUCAGAGAACAUCACGUGGUGCUUUUCCCCAUCAGCUGGUAUCAA
Molecule: long non-coding RNA, 213 nt
Organism: Eptesicus fuscus (big brown bat)
Lineage: Eukaryota; Metazoa; Chordata; Mammalia; Chiroptera; Vespertilionidae
Exons: 3
Source: RefSeq, a predicted model, not a curated record